Long non-coding RNA from Nycticebus coucang (slow loris), 1672 nucleotides. RefSeq lists it as uncharacterized. Lineage: Eukaryota; Metazoa; Chordata; Mammalia; Primates; Lorisidae. The transcript has 3 exons. The record is from RefSeq and is a predicted model, not a curated record.
CUGCCUUAUCCCUUCUUUAUAAUUGGAAGAGAGUGGGUCUUGUUCUCUUAGGAGGAAGAAGCGGGGUGGGGGUGGGGCAGCUCCUGAGUAAUGAGACCAGUCUUGCUUUGAUUGUUAGUGUGACAAUUUUUCUCUCUGAAAAAUCUGAAGGUAGAGACACAGAAACUGGGAGUUGAGUGCUGAGUCUCUGCUAAUGUCACAUUUGGGAUCCUCACCUACCUUCCUCAGGGUUAGCUGUUCAACUUCUCCUGAAACUCUGGGGGAAAUCCAUGGAACCCCACCUCCCCACUGCCUAUCAACCCUGUUUCUAGUUGUUAGUUAAGAGAACUUGAGCUGUUUUCACAGUUCAUUUAGAGUCCUGUACACCCAUCAAAGCAAUAUCAUGGCCUUUCAUUUCAUUGAUUCUAGAGAUCACCCCUGUUUGCCCAAUUUAAUGAAAUAGUCUGUUUAGUUCUUACAAACUAUGUACCAUACCCUAAAUAGCUCUAUGUCUAAAACUAGUCAAGUUUAUUUAUACCCUUUAUGGAAAAUCCCCUCGAGGGUAGUGAUUUCACGUGUUUUUUUUACUUCUAUAUCCUGAGCACCUCGCGGUAUCGAUAAUGAAGGAACAGCUGUGGAUAAAUGUUUUCUCCCACUUCAUGCACAUGGAGUCAUUCUUUUCAGGAUCACUUCUGGAAAUUACCAAAGAAAGCUUUUCCAUACGAACAAGGGGAUGUGAACCAGGUUACUAAUUUAUCUGAGUCCAGUGUGACAGAACACCCAAUGUGCUUUAGGACGCAUCACUGAACCUCUGUUAAACAUCUGAUGCAAUUGUUGGCUUACGAUGAGGAGCAGAGAUGUGGAGAUGUGGAGGAAUCCUGAACACUGGAGACAUUUGCUGCGGGCAGAUCAUGAGUACGGCGAUCUCACUGGCCGGGUGCCGGUGCCUACGGCUCCUGGCGAGCUCCCCUGAAGAACACAGGCGCUGGAGGGUGAGCAGUCUGCUUGUUUGUUCACUGAGCAGGCACUCUCCCGGCAUCUCCUUUGUGCCACACACUAUUCUCAGUAUUCACUUCUUCCCCCCACUUCAGAACUUUGCUCAAAUACCACCAUUUCAAGGCUGCCCAGCCUGGCCAUCACAUUGAAGAUCUUGGUUCAAAUUGUGCCUUUUCAGUAUCCCUUACUCCACCCUGUGCUGUUUUAUUUCAUAGCAUGUGUUACCUGCUAACUUCCUAGAACGGACUUCUCUGCUACCUUUUGCUGUCUUUUUCUUCCACACCCACCCCAUGCCAAAAUUUGGGCUCCAUGAUGACAGGAAUUUUUUUUUUUUUUAGACAGUCUUACUCUGUCGCCCUGGAUAGAGUGUCGGUGGUAUCAUAGCUCACAGCAACCUCAGACUCUUGGGCUUGAGCAAUCCUCUUGCCUUGGUCUCCUGCGUAGCUGGGACUACAGGUAUUCACAACCAUACCCAGGUAAUUUUUCUAUUUUUAGUAGAGAUGGGGUCUCAAUCAUUCUUCCUCAGGCUGGUUUUGAACUCCUGACCUCAAGGGAUCCUCCUGCCUCAGGCUCCCAGAGUGCUAGGAUUGCAGGUGUGAACCACUGUGCUCAGCCAAUGGCAGGAAUCUUAAUUUGCUCUGUUCGCUGAUGCAGGGCCUGGCUCAUAAAACUGAACAGCUAGAGAAUAAACUGAUGA